GCUGUGGUCCCGGGUUCUGGCGUUCCCCCCUGGCCCUCUUCCUGUCCGUCCCUCGCGAGUGCCCCCCUGCGACGCUCGCAAGCCUUGCUCGCAACGUUCCGGGCGCGGGAGCUCCCUGCACUCCUGCCCCGGGGCACGGGAGUGCUCCGCCCUCUCCCGGGGUGCUCCUCGGGCGCCCUGUUUCGCCUCCCCCAACUGGGUCCAGGCACUAGGAGCAGGCCAACGAGCAGGCCUGAGCCUGGGGAGCGUGGCCCCCAGGCUGCAAACCGCUGCCAGGGCCCUUGGUCGCUGAAUUAGAGUGGAAGUUGCGCGGCAGGCAAAUUUGGGCUCCCCAAGAACUGAAGUUUUGGGCGCGGGGAGUUGGAGCGGGAGAGGAAAAGUUGGAGACGACUGCCUCUGCAGGCCGAGCACGCUCUACUGCAGGCGGCGGCGCUCGCUUUUUUUUUUUUUUUUCCCACUCUGGAAAAAGAUGUAUCCGACAAACAACCACGAGGAAAUAAAAGGAAAAAAAAAAAAAAAAAAGGAACAAGAACUCCAGGCAGCCUGGCCGCGCCGCCGCUGGCAGUCGGGGGUCGUCGGGGGCGCCCGCCCUCCCCAGCUGCCGCUUUCUGUAGGGGGCACUGCAGGGUCGUGGAAUCUCAAGUGGAAAAGUUCCCCGAAAACUUUGACACCUCCCACCCCCCUCCCCGCGAAAAAAAUCUCUGUUCCCUGCCUGGGCCCUGGCCCUGCGACCCCCGCGCCCCCCCGUGCCCCGGGCCGGGUUUUCCACGGUUGGCCGGGCCCAGGGCGCCCUAAGCACCUCGACUUGCCGCCCCGGGCCAGGUCGGCGGGGUUCGUGCAGGGGCUCCGUGGGGCCGCGUCGGGCAGGGGCCGCCCGGGCCCGAGCACGGCACCCACAAACAGGCUGGCGUCCCGCGACGGAGACCCGGGUCCGGCCCGGAGCCGCCCGGGAGGCUUGAGGCCAAGGGCCUGGCCCAGCGCGCGGCCGGAGCGGGUCGGGGGCGCAGAGCUGUGCGGCGGCGCCUUCCGGGCCCCGGGCCUGUGCAGGGCCGGCUUCCCCUUGCGGGGCGAGGCUGCGGGCCGGGCUGCGGUGCGGGGUUCCAACAAAGGACCGAGGCCCCAGAAGCGGCCCCCACGCGUCCUUUGUUUCUGCGUGGAACAAACUUUACACACGUGUGUGUUUUCCGAGGGUUUCCCGUGUGCUGAGCGCUUGCAAAGCGGAGUCGCGCCCGGGGAGACGCGAAGCCGGUGCCCGCGGCUCACCCAGGGACCCCAGCCAGACAGCGGCACCCGCGGGGCGCGUGCGGGACCCCCAGGCGACCGGGGGAAGCACCGGUAACCGCCCCCCACCCGUGCUUUUUCUCUCACGGAGAAUGUUCCCGCGCGUUCGUUGUGCAACUAAAAAUUAAUGUGAAACAUCCAUUGAGGCAAAUAACAAAAUGCAUCCAACGAAACCCACAUAAAAUCGAGAGAGCCGCGAGCAGGGCUGGGCGAGUUCACUGUGAGGACCGGCUCUGGCUUCCGCGCAGCGCGGAGAGCAGGGCGCUCGCCCGGGGACGCUUCGCAGCGGUGGAAGAUUCGGGCGACAGGGGACUGGGUCGCCGCGCGGGCCGGGCUGGAGGCUGCAGGGACUUGCUGACAGGCCAUCCAAAGACAGAGAGGCCCUGGGGAGGGAAAUUCGGGGAGCCCGUGUGCUUAGCGUAGCGCCCCGGGAAAUAUUUGCCCAAUAAGGGAGAGUUUGUCCCCACACUGCGGCAGAACCCCCCUGCGAGCUCUGACCCCAGCAGCACGGCCAAGCCCCCCCAACCCCGCUCCCCCCUUUAGGGGACAGGUAUUUGUAAAUAACAACUGAGCUGGUCGUCGGUAGGAGAAUCAGAUUAGAAACAUGGUCCCCACUCUCUUCCUAUCUCCCCAGCACUCAUCACCUCACAAAGCAGGGGGGGACCUGUUUACUUUUCCUGGCGCUCUCCCCCAGGCUAGAACGUGAUCUUCUUCCUACGCAGGGACAGUGUUUUAUUCAUCUUUGUACCCACUGCCAUCUCAUCUGGCUUGGAACAGGCUCCGGAUAAAUAUUUUUUAAAUAUGUGCAUGAAUUAAUGAGAGACUCGAGAUUUAGUCCCCAAACUCUCUGACCUCCCUCGAGUGACUUUAAGCCUUUAGAGCCCUUAUCUGUUAAGAAAAAAAGAAAAAAAUGUGGGUUUUUCGUAAUCCUCGUAAUCCGCGCCCUGUCUACUUCUCUGGGGUUAUUGUGAAGAUCAAAUAAGGUAAGUGAAAACUCUUUGUAAACUACCAGGUGCUGAGCAAAUAUUAUAUAGGAUGGUUAUUCAUUCAUUCCCUCCGUUCAGGAAGCUUAGCAAAGUAAUUCCUGGUCUUGUGUUUCAGCAGAUGGUGGUCGCCUUUCCUGGUCAGUCUUAAAUAUUUAUUACAGGACAAUCUCAUUCUUACAUUUAGGAGAUCAAUCAAGCUUCCAUUUCUUUGAGCGAAAUGAACACUGCUUGCACACAAAUAAUGGAAGAAAAAUCCUGGUAUUCCCAAAACAGCCACCCCAAGCAACCCAAGAGCCUAACAGCGGGGAGGUCAGGAAAAUCCAAGAAGUUGGCAUAGCAGCCCAAAGGCAGCACCGUGCAGCUCUGACCAGGCCCCAAA
This 2646-nucleotide long non-coding RNA is filed under the name Homo sapiens (human). RNAcentral's name for it is "non-protein coding lnc-APCDD1L-3:1". The record is from RNAcentral. Lineage: Eukaryota; Metazoa; Chordata; Mammalia; Primates; Hominidae.